This 761-nucleotide ribosomal RNA is filed under the name Prevotella melaninogenica. RNAcentral describes it as "bacterial SSU rRNA". It matches the Rfam family "Bacterial small subunit ribosomal RNA", at positions 28 to 776 of the family's 1533-position model. The record is from RNAcentral. Lineage: Bacteria; Pseudomonadati; Bacteroidota; Bacteroidia; Bacteroidales; Prevotellaceae.
GAUGAACGCUAGCUACAGGCUUAACACAUGCAAGUCGAGGGGAAACGGCAUUGAGUGCUUGCACUCUUUGGACGUCGACCGGCGCACGGGUGAGUAACGCGUAUCCAACCUUCCCAUUACUGUGGGAUAACCUGCCGAAAGGCCGACUAAUACCGCAUAGUCUUCGAUGACGGCAUCAGAUUUGAAGUAAAGAUUUAUCGGUAAUGGAUGGGGAUGCGUCUGAUUAGCUUGUUGGCGGGGUAACGGCCCACCAAGGCGACGAUCAGUAGGGGUUCUGAGAGGAAGGUCCCCCACAUUGGAACUGAGACACGGUCCAAACUCCUACGGGAGGCAGCAGUGAGGAAUAUUGGUCAAUGGACGGAAGUCUGAACCAGCCAAGUAGCGUGCAGGACGACGGCCCUAUGGGUUGUAAACUGCUUUUGUAUGGGGAUAAAGUUAGGGACGUGUCCCUAUUUGCAGGUACCAUACGAAUAAGGACCGGCUAAUUCCGUGCCAGCAGCCGCGGUAAUACGGAAGGUCCAGGCGUUAUCCGGAUUUAUUGGGUUUAAAGGGAGCGUAGGCUGGAUAUUAAGUGUGUUGUGAAAUGUAGACGCUCAACGUCUGACUUGCAGCGCAUACUGGUUUCCUUGAGUACGCACAACGUUGGCGGAAUUCGUCGUGUAGCGGUGAAAUGCUUAGAUAUGACGAAGAACUCCGAUUGCGAAGGCAGCUGACGGGAGCGCAACUGACGCUUAAGCUCGAAGGUGCGGGUAUCAAACAGG